CACGGGAAGGCCGCUCUUCAAAGGCAACGAUCACCUGGACCAGCUCACAGAAAUAAUGAAAGUAACAGGCACACCAACUCAAGAUUUUGUUCAGAAACUGCAAAGCCAAGAUG
This is a non-coding RNA of Podarcis muralis (Common wall lizard), 113 nucleotides long. NCBI's taxonomy places the organism in Eukaryota, Metazoa, Chordata, Lepidosauria, Squamata, Lacertidae. The record is from RefSeq and is a predicted model, not a curated record.